AUAGAACAUGAAAGUGGCGCACGGGUGCGUAACACGUAUGCAACCUACCUUUAAUAGGAGAAUAGCUUCGAGAAAUCGGAAUUAAUACUCCAUAACAUAAUUGAGUGGCAUCACUUGGUUAUCAAACCUCCGGGGAUUAAAGAUGAGCAUGCGCAACAUUAGCUAGUUGGUAAGGUAAUGGCUUACCAAGGCUACGAUGUUUAGGGGGUCUGAGAGGAUGAUCCCCCACACUGGUACUGAGACACGGACCAGACUCCUACGGGAGGCAGCAGUAGGGAAUAUUGGGCAAUGGAGGCAACUCUGACCCAGCCAUGCCGCGUGUAGGAAGAAUGCCCUCUGGGUUGUAAACUACUUUUAUACGGGAAGAAAAAAUACUACGUGUAGUAUACUGACGGUACCGUAAGAAUAAGGAUCGGCUAACUCCGUGCCAGCAGCCGCGGUAAUACGGAGGAUUCGAGCGUUGUCCGGAUUUAUUGGGUUUAAAGGGUGCGUAGGCGGAUUUUUAAGUCAGUGGUGAAAGCCUGCAGCUCAACUGUAGAAUUGCCAUUGAAACUGAAAAUCUUGAAUUUGGUUAAAGUAGGCGGAAUGUAUCAUGUAGCGGUGAAAUGCUUAGAUAUGAUACAGAACACCGAUAGCGAAGGCAGCUUGCUGAACCAAUAUUGACGCUGAGGCACGAAAGCGUGGUGAGCAAACAGGAUUA
Molecule: ribosomal RNA, 700 nt
Filed under: uncultured bacterium
Lineage: Bacteria
Description: bacterial SSU rRNA
Rfam family: Bacterial small subunit ribosomal RNA
Source: RNAcentral